Molecule: ribosomal RNA, 420 nt
Filed under: uncultured bacterium
Lineage: Bacteria
Description: bacterial SSU rRNA
Rfam family: Bacterial small subunit ribosomal RNA
Source: RNAcentral
AAGGAAUAUUGGACAAUGGAGGCAACUCUGAUCCAGCCAUGCCGCGUGAAGGAUUAAGGCCCUAUGGGUUGUAAACUUCUUUUAGACGGGACAAAACCCCUUUACGUGUAAAGGGUUGAUGGUACUGUCAGAAUAAGCAUCGGCUAACUUCGUGCCAGCAGCCGCGGUAAUACGAAGGAUGCAAGCGUUAUCCGGAAUUAUUGGGUUUAAAGGGUGCGUAGGCGGACUAAUAAGUCAGUGGUGAAAGCCUGCAGCUUAACUGCAGAAUUGCCGUUGAUACUGUUAGUCUUGAGUACAGUUGAGGUAGGCGGAAUGUGUCAUGUAGCGGUGAAAUGCUUAGAUAUGACACAGAACACCGAUUGCGAAGGCAGCUUGCUAAGCUGUAACUGACGCUGAGGCACGAAAGCGUGGGGAGCAAAC